This 372-nucleotide ribosomal RNA is filed under the name uncultured organism. RNAcentral describes it as "bacterial SSU rRNA". It matches the Rfam family "Bacterial small subunit ribosomal RNA", at positions 526 to 896 of the family's 1533-position model. The record is from RNAcentral.
CAGAGGUGGCAAGCGUUGCUCGGUAUCACUGGGCUUAAAGGGCGCGUAGGCGGUGCGGUGCGGUUUCGGUGAAAUCCCUCGGCCCAACCGAGGAACAGCCGGGGCUACGGCCGCGCUAGACGGCAUCUGGGGACAGUGGAACUCCCGGUGGAGCGGUGAAAUGCGUAGAUAUCGGGAGGAACGCCGGUGGCGAAAGCGACUGUCUGGGGUGCCUGUGACGCUGAGGCGCGAAAGCCAGGGGAUCAAACGGGAUUAGAUACCCCGGUAGUCCUGGCCCUAAACGAUGCGCACUAGGUAGCGGGGGAUUCCGAUUUCCCGCUGCCGGAGUAAAAAUCUUAAGUGCGCCGCCUGGGGAGUACGGCCGCAAGGUUA